GAUGAACGCUGGCGGCGUGCCUAAUACAUGCAAGUCGAGCGAACAGAUGAGGAGUUUGCUCCUCUGACGUUAGCGGCGGACGGGUGAGUAACACGUGGAUAACCUACCUAUACGACUGGGAUAACUUCGGGAAACCGGAGCUAAUACCGGCUAAUAUAUUUAACCGCAUGGUUCAAUAGUGAAAGACGGUUUUGCUGUCACUUAUAGAUGGAUCGGCGCCGCAUUAGCUAAGUGGGAAGGUAACGGCUUACCAAGGCAAGGAUGCGUAGCCGACCGGAGAGGGGGAUCAGCCACACUGGACCUGAGCCACGGUCCAGACUCCUACGGUAGGCAGCAGAAGGGUGUGGAAUGUUAGGGGAGAAGGGCUGACGGGGCAAAGCCGAGUGGGGUACAAAGGGCCGCGGAUCUGAAUACUCUGUUGUUAGGGAGGAAGAAAUGUGUAAGUAACUAGUCACGUCUUGAAGGUACCGAAUGAAAAAGCCACGGCUAACUACGUG
Molecule: ribosomal RNA, 497 nt
Filed under: uncultured bacterium
Lineage: Bacteria
Description: partial 16S ribosomal RNA
Rfam family: Bacterial small subunit ribosomal RNA
Source: RNAcentral